Molecule: ribosomal RNA, 1362 nt
Filed under: uncultured bacterium
Lineage: Bacteria
Description: bacterial SSU rRNA
Rfam family: Bacterial small subunit ribosomal RNA
Source: RNAcentral
AGAGUUUGAUCCUGGCUCAGGAUGAACGCUGGCGGCGUGCUUAACACAUGCAAGUCGAACGAAGCACUUUAUUUGAUUUCUUCGGAAUGAAGAUCUUGUGACUGAGUGGCGGACGGGUGAGUAACGCGUGGGUAACCUGCCUCAUACAGGGGGAUAACAGUUGGAAACGACUGCUAAUACCGCAUAAGCGCACAGGGUCGCAUGACCUGGUGUGAAAAACUCCGGUGGUAUGAGAUGGACCCGCGUCUGAUUAGCCAGUUGGUGGGGUAACGGCCUACCAAAGCGACGAUCAGUAGCCGACCUGAGAGGGUGACCGGCCACAUUGGGACUGAGACACGGCCCAAACUCCUACGGGAGGCAGCAGUGGGGAAUAUUGCACAAUGGGGGAAACCCUGAUGCAGCGACGCCGCGUGAGCGAAGAAGUAUUUCGGUAUGUAAAGCUCUAUCAGCAGGGAAGAAGAAAUGACGGUACCUGACUAAGAAGCACCGGCUAAAUACGUGCCAGCAGCCGCGGUAAUACGUAUGGUGCAAGCGUUAUCCGGAUUUACUGGGUGUAAAGGGAGCGCAGGCGGUACGGCAAGUCUGAUGUGAAAGCCCGGGGCUCAACCCCGGUACUGCAUUGGAAACUGUCGGACUAGAGUGUCGGAGGGGUAAGUGGAAUUCCUAGUGUAGCGGUGAAAUGCGUAGAUAUUAGGAGGAACACCAGUGGCGAAGGCGGCUUACUGGACGAUUACUGACGUUGAGGCUCGAAAGCGUGGGGAGCAAACAGAAUUAGAUACCCUGGUAGUCCACGCUGUAAACGAUGAAUAAUAGGUGUCGGGGAGCAUUGCUCUUCGGUGCCGCAGCAAACGCAAAUAGGUAUUCCACCUGGGGAGUACGUUGGCAAGAAUGAAACUCAAAGGAAUUGACGGGGACCCGCACAAAGCGGGGGAGCAUGUGGUUUAAUUCGAAGCAACGCGAAGAACCUUACCAAGUCUUGACAUCCCGAUGACAGAACAUGUAAUGUGUUUUCUUUUCGGAGCAUCGGUGACAGGUGGUGCAUGGUUGUCGUCAGCUCGUGUCGUGAGAUGUUGGGUUAAGUCCCGCAACGAGCGCAACCCCUAUUCUUAGUAGCCAGCGGGUAAGCCGGGCACUCUAGGGAGACUGCCAGGGAUAACCUGGAGGAAGGUGGGGAUGACGUCAAAUCAUCAUGCCCCUUAUGACUUGGGCUACACACGUGCUACAAUGGCGUAAACAAAGGGAAGCGAGCCUGCGAGGGGGAGCAAAUCUCAAAAAUAACGUCUCAGUUCGGAAGGCAGUCUGCAACUCGACUGCACGAAGCUGGAAUCGCUAGUAAUCGCGAAUCAGAAUGUCGCGGUGAAU